Molecule: long non-coding RNA, 589 nt
Organism: Seriola dumerili (greater amberjack)
Lineage: Eukaryota; Metazoa; Chordata; Actinopteri; Carangiformes; Carangidae
Exons: 3
Source: RefSeq, a predicted model, not a curated record
CACACAACAGAAGAGGGAAAAGAAGACAACUUUUAAUAGAGGUCAUAAGCCAAAAAGGUUGUGAACCACUGCUUUGACACAACUGUUUCUGUGGAAAACGGCCCACAGUCUGAGCCAGGGAGACUCAUACUGGCUCGGCCUGAGGAGCAGUAGUGCUGACGGGGGGUGAAAAUGGAGCGAUGGCUCCCUGGUGGAAAAGGGACCACAGUUUUGGGAGCGUGAGCCCAAUAAGGCAGCAGGGAGCAGGGAGCAGUGUGGUCAACUCACCCCAGCAGAUGACUACAAGAAGAGCUGGUGAGAGGAGACAAGCAGCUCUACAGUGAGAGGAGAGGAGUCCAAACUAAAUCAAAGGAAGCAAAGCAAAUGAUUCAUGUACAUUAAAGCCUACACAGCUUUUGAUUUUAAUCUAUUAACUGUAGCAAUAAAACAUUUAAAAAAAAUUAUUGUCACUACAAUAAUUUUUUUUUCUUCAUAUUUUUUUAUUGAGCCUUUAUUAUGUUUGCUAACUCACAUUUCUCAGUUUUCAUUGGUUUGAUUGAAAACACGUGUCUGUCAAACACAUCUGUCAAAAUUCAUGAACUCACUCAAA